UAGAGAGAGAAAGAAAAAGAUAAAUUAAGAUAUGGAGUCAAACACAUGCUAUUUAAACCAUCUAUACUUCCAACAUAUGUAUCGAGAAAAGUAUUGAGAUUCUUCCAGAGAGAAUAAAAGAUUAUGUAAAACAAUGCAAUCAUCUCAUCAGGGAAGGAAAGGAACAAAACACAUCAAUAAACCAUUUUAACAGAAUGUGAUUACCGCGUACGUUAGUAGUAUAUGAUGUAAGGAGAAAGCGAGCAAGUUAUUUUUUUAAAAACAGUUAAUAGAUUGUCAAAAGGAAUAUUUCACCAUUUUUCUACAUUUAGACAUAUUGACAAACGCAACAAUACUGGGCUUCGUAAAUUAAUGUCGAAAAUAAAGUCAAAAACGAAUGAGAAUGGAAAAUGAUCUGAAUUAGAGAUGAUGGAGUGCUGCACUGAGCUCAGCUUGAGCAAAGACGAAAGGUUCUCUGGCCUUGUGGUUACCAGAUAUCUCGCCAGCCAUUGGACCUCAUUGAAAACCCAAAUUUGAAAACAAAAUUACAAACAUUUUUACCGCCACAAUGAUUGUGGUGCAGAAAUAAAGCGGCCACAACAAAAUUUCAUCCCUGUGGACACCUUGUGACAUGUGAAGAAUGUUCAAACGUUCCACUGAAAUGAUGUCUGAGGUGUUUAAAACCUGUAACAAGCAGAAGUUGAGUUGGUAUUUUUUAGGAAUUCCAGCAAUUGACCAGGAUAUUAUCAAGAACGUUUUCCCUUGUGACACAGUAAAACAGAGUUAUCAAAUGCUUUGUGAGUGGUUUAUAAAUUGUAAACCAGAGGAACGUACAGUUGAAACCCUCAGAAGCGGCCUUAAAGAUGCUGAGUGCUUUGCUGCCCUUGAAUAUCUCUCAUUAGAUGAACGGUGAAUUUCUGUGUAAAUUCUACUGUUGUUUACUCCCAGGUGAAUGCUGACCAAAGAGAGAGACCUUUGACCAAAGUAUAGAGAACCAAGAACCACACACUCCAAUUUGUCCUCCUUUACAAUGAUGAGGUGUGGAGUGCAGUGGAUUUAGCUACCAAUUCUAGCAGAUCUAUCUCUCACAUAAGAGAUACCCUUCACUGGUUUGGUUCCUUUGUUAGAAAUUAGCUUUUGAAAUAAAGAUAAACUUUGAAAUAUC
Long non-coding RNA from Octopus sinensis (East Asian common octopus), 1144 nucleotides. RefSeq lists it as uncharacterized. The record is from RefSeq and is a predicted model, not a curated record. NCBI's taxonomy places the organism in Eukaryota, Metazoa, Mollusca, Cephalopoda, Octopoda, Octopodidae. The transcript has 4 exons.